This 253-nucleotide ribosomal RNA is filed under the name uncultured bacterium. RNAcentral describes it as "partial 16S ribosomal RNA". It matches the Rfam family "Bacterial small subunit ribosomal RNA", at positions 524 to 776 of the family's 1533-position model. The record is from RNAcentral.
UACGUAGGGUGCGAGCGUUGUCCGGAUUUACUGGGCGUAAAGAGCGCGCAGGCGGUCGUUCAAGUCGCGUGUGAAAGCCCCCGGCUCAACUGGGGAGGGUCACGCGACACUGAUCGACUCGAAGGCAGGAGAGGGAAGUGGAAUUCCCGGUGUAGUGGUGAAAUGCGUAGAUAUCGGGAGGAACACCAGUGGCGAAGGCGACUUCCUGGCCUGUUCUUGACGCUGAGGCGCGAAAGCUAGGGGAGCAAACGGG